UACACUGCAGAACAACUCCUGCUUCCAAGAACAGUUUCUGAGGACUAUGGAAUUCAGUAAUAAACCAGCAUCCCAUGGAUAAAUACUGUUUGACUCAUCACAUAUGAUCACCAAAUCAACGGCUGAAGAACAGUCUGAAAAGAAGAGGGUAGAAAUCAUGUUUCUCUAACAAUUCUCUCCUUUGAAACCUGUGCCACUUGGUGUUAAAACAUUUACAGAGUUAAAUUAAAACUGCAUGGAAACGA
Molecule: long non-coding RNA, 245 nt
Organism: Pantherophis guttatus
Lineage: Eukaryota; Metazoa; Chordata; Lepidosauria; Squamata; Colubridae
Source: RefSeq, a predicted model, not a curated record